Molecule: long non-coding RNA, 1669 nt
Organism: Hylaeus volcanicus
Lineage: Eukaryota; Metazoa; Arthropoda; Insecta; Hymenoptera; Colletidae
Exons: 3
Source: RefSeq, a predicted model, not a curated record
CUCAAGAGCGGCUGGGGUACUUUCUACAUCCGUGAAUAAUUAAAUUACGCCAAUGGAAAUUCGUUUUCCUUCGUAACGAAAGCAUCUCGCAUCCCUUCUAAAAAUACACGGACGAACGGUACCGGAGGAGCGGAACAACUCCAGGCGGUUUUUUUCCCCCACCGAGCAGACGAUGCCGAGGCAACAUAACCCCGAGCGUUUUCCAACUAUAUGCACCCGAUUACCAGGAACAAGACCGGCGUUUCUUGUUUCCACCGCAGAGAGAACGAGCGUGUUCCGGCUCUGACCGAUGAUGACGACGGGGCCAUCUCGCCGGGUAUCUGGGCUCCUCCUCGAUCCCAGAGACGAAGGUAACAGCUAACGCGGGACGGUAACCAGACGCACGACUUCGUCAGCUACUUCUUAGCCCGGUGCAAAUUGCAAUAAUCUCCUCGGUUUCGAGAUAUUGCGAGACGUUCGAGGACUGUUUAUCAGCAUCCACGGACGAUGGCGAACAUGGUCUCGGGAACUUGAUUGCAGGGUAGGAGAUGACCAUUCGAAGAACCCGAAGGGAUGGGAGAGUGAUCUGUUAACCGACGAUGGAAGCCAGACUGUUUUAGACGUUCCACGGACGACCUAUCUUUGGUGACGAUGAACAAAGAAACUCGGGUACCAUUUCGAUCCUUCGUGAGGAUUCCCAUCGAGGGAAGGAAGAAAAUCACUGGACAUGUUGGAUUUCGAGGAAGAGAAAAGUGGACCAAUUUCAGACUUUCGAUGGACGGUUUGUUAUAGAUUAUAAAGACUCUGUUGGAGGAAAUAACUACUCUCCAGUUGGUCCAUGUUGGAGUUCACGAGAGAGGAAACUGAAGCCAUAUAACAUAGAAUAUUAAAUUUCAAACAUUCGACAAGCAGUUUGUUGAAUUUAGAUCUUCCUAGACAAGCUGCUGAUCGUGGAGUACUCGACGUGGAUUUUGUCUAAGAGAACAAGGAACUUAACUAGUGGUCUAACCGUGAGAAAAUUUGAGGAAGGAGAACAACAGAGAUCGCAAGUGUUGAAUCUGGAAAACAACUGGACCGAUUCGAGCCGCGACUUUCGGUCGGAUUGUUCGCGAUAGCCGAUGCGUUGCGGAAGAUACGCUUCGUCACGAUAUCUCAUCGGGAGGCUGAAGAGUAAACAAAAAUGUCGGCCAGGAGAGAUACAUGAAUCGCAACAAAGUAUAAAGCGUGACAGUGAUCGACGCCGGGUGCUUAGUAUCGACCUGCGCCGGCUCGACGUCAAGAAAGUCGCGGGGCUAAAAGAUGCGGGACUUUUCCCAGGCGUGCGGGUAUGUAUUAGAGCGUUUGAUGGAAAGGAUGAACUUAGCUCACGGUUAUUUAACGGGGAAGACAGAUUUCGUGCGAAUGCGGUCUUUGGAGUAGAAAGUGAGCGAUGAGCGAUGCUUCGGGAAGCUAACUUUGACGAAGUAUCCAUUGAGCAAACACCGGUGAUUAUGGCGAUGAAGGGCUGGCCAUCUCGCCUGAUAUUCACUACUACCAUUAGUGUGCUGAAUAAAUUAAUCAUAUCGCAAGUUUAACAAUUCCAAAUACGCGUCUUCGAAUAUCCAGCGACCUAAGUCCUAAGAAUUAAUGCUGGUACAUAAAUUUGUAACAUUACUGACGAAUAUUUUUGGGCUACUCCCUCUUAUUAAUU